GUACUCCGGGGCAACCGAUAUACACAGAGAACCACGUGGAGGAAACAGCACGCCAGUUUGGAGCGGUGGAGCACAAAAGAAGUGGACUGGAAUGUGACGCGACCGGGCAGCUGGAAGGUAUUGGAAUAGAGUAGUGUCAACGGAGAAGUCUCUGAACUUGAGCCCUGAACCGUAUCAACUUUCAGAUUUUAGGGAAGACUUAAUGUUCCUGUCCCGCUCCUUUCCACCGGAAUUGGGGGGAGGUCCAGUUCCUGAUCUUUACUUUAUUGCCACUUUUAAAGACACUCUGCUCAGUUUUUUUCCCCACGGCCCAGUGGAUAUUGAUGACUGCGUGGGUGGGUAAACAGGGGCACUGAAUCAAUGCAAGGAAUUCUCUUUGGACUAUCAAAGCAUGCCGCUCAGAUUCUUAGUAUAACCUUCUCCUCUCCUCCGCACUGGUGAAGAGAACUAUCCAACCAGGAACUGGGGACAUAGCAGUGAACAAAACAGGCACAAUCCCUGCCCUUAAGGAGCUUACCUUCCAGUAGAAGCAGAAAGAUAAUGAAAAAGCUGCUGCUGGGUCCCUUUGAGCACUGCUAAACUGGAGUGGCAGAGUG
Heterocephalus glaber (naked mole-rat) is the source of this 596-nucleotide long non-coding RNA. Lineage: Eukaryota; Metazoa; Chordata; Mammalia; Rodentia; Bathyergidae. The record is from Ensembl.